This 1795-nucleotide ribosomal RNA is filed under the name Durio zibethinus. Its description in RNAcentral is "SSU rRNA". It matches the Rfam family "Eukaryotic small subunit ribosomal RNA". The record is from RNAcentral. Lineage: Eukaryota; Viridiplantae; Streptophyta; Magnoliopsida; Malvales; Malvaceae.
UCUGGUUGAUCCUGCCAGUAGUCAUAUCUUGUCUCAAAGAUUAAGCCAUGCAUGUGUAUGUAUGAACUAAUUCAGGCUGUGAAACUAUGAAUGGCUCAUUAAUUCAAUUAUAGUUUGUUUGAUGGUAUCUGUUACUCGAAUAAUUAUAGUAAUUCUAGAGUUAAUAUGUGCAACAAAGCUUUACUUUUAUAAAGGAUGCAUAUAUUGGAUAAAAGGUUGUUACAGGCUUUCCCUGUUGCUCUUAUGAUUCAUGAUAACUUGACAGAUCAGAUAGCCUUUGUGUUGGUGAUGCAUCAUUCAAAUUUCUACCCUAUCAACUUUUGAUGGUAAGAUAGUGGCCUAUUAUAGUGGUGACAGGUGAUGGAGAAUUAGGGUUCAAUUCUAGAGAGGGAGCCUAAGAAACAGCUACCACAUCCAAGAAAAGUAGUAGGCACACAAAUUACCCAAUCCUGAGAUAGGGAGGUAGUGACAAUAAAUAACAAUACUGAGUUCUAGGAGUCUGGUAAUUGGAAUGAAUAAAAUUUAAAUCUCUUAAUGAGGAUCCAUUGAAGGGUAAGUCUAGUGCUAGCAGCCAAGGUAAUUCUAGCUCCAACAACAUAUAUUUAAGUUGUUGUAGUUAAAAAUCUCAUAAUUGGAACUAGGGUUAGGUCAUUCGGCUCACCUCACGGUGAGCAUCAAUCUGCUCAUCCCUACUACUGAUGAUGCACUCUUGGCCUUAACUAGUGGGUCAUUCCUCUAGUAUUGUUACUUUGAAGAAAUUAGAGUGCUCAAAGAAAGCCUACACUUGUAUGCAUUAGCAUGAGAUAACAUCAUAGGAUUUCAAUCCUAAUGUGUUGGCCUUCGAGAUCAGUGUAAAGAUUAAUAGGGACAAUUAAGGGCAUUCAUAUUUCAUAGUCAGAGGUGAAAUUCUUAGAUUUAUGAAAGAUGGACAACUAUGAAAGCAUUUGCCAAGGAUGUUUUCAUUAAUCAAGAAUGAAAGUUAGGGGCUCAAAGAUGAUCAGAUACCAUCAUAGUCUCAAACAUAAUCAAUGUCAAUAAAGGAUCGAUGGAUGUUACUUUUUUAACUUCACCAACACCUUAUGAGAAUUCAAAGUCUUUGGGUUCAAGGGGAGUAUGCUUGUAGGGCUAAAACUUAAAGGAAUUGAUGGAAAGGCACCAUCAAGAGUGGUGCUUGUAGCUUAAUUUGACUCAACACGGGGAAAUUUACCAGGUCCAAACAUAGUAAGGAUUGACAGACUAAGAGCUUUUUCUUGAUUCUAUAGGUGGUGGUGCAUGGUCGUUCUUAGUUGGUGAAGCGAUUUGUCUAGUUAAUUCUAUUAACAAACGAGACCUUAGCCUGCUAGUUAGCUACACAAAGGUGAUCUUUUGUGGCUAGCUUCUUAGAGGGACUAUGGCCACUUAGGCCAAGGAAGUUUGAGGCAAUAAUAGGUCUAUGAUGCCCUUAGAAGUUUUGGGUUGCAUGCAUGCUACAAUGAUGUAUUUAAUGGGUCUAUAACCUUGGUCGAUAGGCCUAGAUAAUCUUUAAAAUUUCAUCAUGAUAGGGAUAGAUCAUUGUAAUUAUUGGUCUUGAGUGAGGAAUUCCUACUAAGCACAAGUCAUCAACUCGCGUUGACUACAUCCCUACCCUUUGUGCAUAUCACCCGUCACUUUUACUGAUUGAAUGGUUUGGUAAAGUGUUUGGAUCAUAACAACAUGGAUGCUUCACUACCUGUGACGUCACCAGAAGUUCACUAUACCUUAUCAUUUAGGGGAAGGAGAAGUCAUAACAAGGUUUCUGUAGGUGAACUUGAGGAAA